UCACGAUAUAUUAAUUGCGUGUCCGUUUCAAAGGAGAAGUGCGCCGAUGCCAUUCUUUUUCUCUGAACGCGUGAUGGGUGUCACUUACUGGUUUGGUUGUAUUAACAGUCUCCCGUCACCUUUAUAUAGCGGCGCGCUCCACAAAUCCAAGUGCAGACGUUCCUGUUGAAAACGUUUAAUAUGCUCAAAAUGAGGUGUCUGCUAGUGCUUCUCCUUUGUGCUUCAGUUCUGAUAGUAGGGACAGAUGCAGAUGCACCCAGUUGUGACAACCCAAACAGCAACGAGGAUUGCCAACAGCAUUGCAAAGACGAAGGGUACGGUGGAGGCGCUUGCGUCCAAUCCGAGGAUACUCCGGAGAGUGGAUUAUACUGCAUGUGCGCCUCUCUUGAGUGAGGCCACGUCAGACAUAUAUGGCUAUCUACUGCUGUCAAACAAAUGGAUACGUUGGGCAUGGCGAAUAAAAGAAAAUAAAGCCAACCUUGAAAGUCG
Ornithodoros turicata is the source of this 489-nucleotide long non-coding RNA. RefSeq lists it as uncharacterized. The transcript is spliced from 3 exons. The record is from RefSeq and is a predicted model, not a curated record. Lineage: Eukaryota; Metazoa; Arthropoda; Arachnida; Ixodida; Argasidae.